This is a small nuclear RNA of Oryctolagus cuniculus (rabbit), 68 nucleotides long. The record is from Ensembl. NCBI's taxonomy places the organism in Eukaryota, Metazoa, Chordata, Mammalia, Lagomorpha, Leporidae.
GUGCUCGCUUUGGCAGCACAUAUACUAAAAUUGGAACGAUACAGAGAAGAUUAGCAUGCCCCUGCGCA